This 83-nucleotide transfer RNA is filed under the name Bacteroidetes bacterium GWE2_42_42. RNAcentral's name for it is "tRNA-Leu". It matches the Rfam family "tRNA". From Rfam's summary of the family: Transfer RNA (tRNA) molecules are approximately 80 nucleotides in length. Their secondary structure includes four short double-helical elements and three loops (D, anti-codon, and T loops). Lineage: Bacteria; Pseudomonadati; Bacteroidota. The record is from RNAcentral. RNAcentral also lists the same sequence under 3 other names.
GCCCCGGUGGUGGAAUGGUAGACACGCCGGACUUAAAAUCCUGUGACUUUCGGGUCGUGCGGGUUCAAGUCCCGCCCGGGGUA